RNAcentral lists this ribosomal RNA (318 nucleotides) under uncultured bacterium. RNAcentral describes it as "partial 16S ribosomal RNA". It matches the Rfam family "Bacterial small subunit ribosomal RNA", at positions 355 to 689 of the family's 1533-position model. The record is from RNAcentral.
UGAGGAAUAUUGGACAAUGGGGGCAACCCUGAUCCAGCAAUGCCGCGUGUGUGAAGAAGGUCUUCGGAUUGUAAAGCACUUUCGACGGGGACGAUGAUGACGGUACCCGUAGAAGAAGCCCCGGCUAACUUCGUGCCAGCAGCCGCGGUAAUACGAAGGGGGCUAGCGUUGCUCGGAAUGACUGGGCGUAAAGGGCGUGUAGGCGGUUUACACAGUCAGAUGUGAAAUCCCCGGGCUUAACCUGGGAGCUGCAUUUGAUACGUGUAGACUAGAGUGUGAGAGAGGGUUUGUGGAAUUCCCAGUGUAGAGGUGAAAUUC